This 15623-nucleotide long non-coding RNA is filed under the name Brassica napus (rape). RNAcentral describes it as "long non-coding RNA (BNAP_LNC006902)". Lineage: Eukaryota; Viridiplantae; Streptophyta; Magnoliopsida; Brassicales; Brassicaceae. The record is from RNAcentral.
GUUGAAAUGAGGUGAUGCAACUAUGUGAUAUGAAGCUAGAGAAGGUUAGAGGCUUGAGGAUGAAGUUAGGGAUGUGAGUGUACGGACAGGCCGUACAAGGUGGCCGUACAAGGUAAAGAAGAAGUUACCAUGACCGUUUAACCAAGAGGGGAGUAAACGGAUCAUUCUUACCUUCUACCAUGCUCUACUUAGAUCAGACCGUUGAGAGAGCUUGAGGAGCGCUUCUGACAGGCUGUGCCAGGCUGUGACAGACUGUCAGCAUCCUAGUCAAAGAUCCAAGAUGCUUCACACGCGGGAAGAAGCUCAUUGGAUGCUUUAUGAUAUGCGCUCCUCUCCUGGUUGACUCCACAUGCUUUAGCUUAACUUUAAACCUUGUAAACCCUAAGCUCUCAUACUAUAUAAGUUGUAACCUCAUCAGAUUAAUGAUUAACGAGAUUGAAUCACUCUAUCUCUACUCUCUCUCUAGUUUAAAUCUCAAAGUCUCUUAAUCACUCUCAAACCAUGAUUCUUGUUUAAAUCUUUCACUAAACUUCUCUUUACUCGUUCUUAAUCUCUCAAUACCUUCUUAAAUCUCUAAAAUCUCAUGGUAUCAGAGCCAGGUUGGCUUUGGUAUUGAGAGAUCUUAGUUCCUUUGUGUGAUUCUUACUCAUUCCUUCUUUGUGUUCUUGCGUUUGUUCUUGAUACUUCCGGGAAGUCUUGUCAGUUUGUUGAAGUGUCUUACCCUUGGUUCUUUGGUCCCGUGUGUUCUUGAAGAUCUGGUGUGGUAGAAGCUCAACUGAAGUACAAGAUUGAAGACUAGAAGUAUCUAGAGGCAAAGAGAAGAUGGAAGGAAACUACAGUAAGCUUGUUACGGUUCCGGUUGCCUUAAAAGGUGUAGGGAACUACUUGUUGUGGUCUCGGCUGGUGAAGACUGCUAUUGGGAGGCUAGGGUUGUGGAACCACAUCACGGAUGAUGGUCCAGAGCCAGUGGCCAAAGGGAAUGAGGAAGCUGAGGGUGGAAAAGUACUCACUGAAGCUGAGGUGAAGAAGAAAUGGGUUCAGGAAGAUCUGAUGGUGCUGUCCGUGCUACACAGUUCUAUUGAAGUCCCGUUGCUUGAAGCCUACAUCUUCUGUGAGACACCUAAGCAUCUAUGGGAGACGCUCCAGAAGACAUUUGGAGAUGUUUCAAACCUUAACCGUGUGUUUGAGUUGAAGAAAGCCAUCACCUCCUUGAUGCAAGGUGGUGAACGCUCCAGAAGACAUUUGGAGAUGUCUCAAACCUUAACCGUGUGUUUGAGUUGAAGAAAGCCAUCACCUCCUUGAUGCAAGGUGGUGUGGAGCUUACUACACACAUUGGGAAGUUCAGAGCGCUUUGGUCUGAGCUGGAUAACCUGCGCCCAAGUACCAGUGAUCAAGGGAUCAUCAUGGAGAGGAGAGAGCAGGAUCAAGUGUUUGGGUUGUUGAUGACCUUAGAUGUGUGCUACCAGGAUGUCAUAAAGCACAUGCUGAGAUCGUCAAGCCUACCAACAAUGGAGGAGGUGUGCUCUCAACUGCAGAAGGAGGAAGGCUCUCUAGGCUUGUUUGGAGGAAAGGGGGAGCUACCUAUGGCUCAUCAGGCUGAGGAUGUGCAAGCAAACAAGGCGGGUUACAAGAAUGAUGGAAGGAAGUAUGGUGACCGAUUUGAAGGGAAUUGUGAUCAUUGCAAGAAGCCAGGCCAUAAGAAGAGCCAAUGCUGGAUACUUCACCCUCACCUCAAGCCAAGCAAAUUCAACAAGGAGAGAGAAGCCAGAGCUCACAUGUCCACCGAGACAAGCAGUGGCAGUGCAUCCGGGGCUGGUACAUCCUCACAAGUGAAUGAGAGUGAAGGGCGAGCUCUCUCUUCUCACCACUCAGGAGGAAAGAACCUGGAGCAUGAGGUGAUCAGGAAGUCAGACAUAGAUGCACUCAUCAAAGCUCUUAAGGAGUCUGGUAACAAACUAAGACCCAAUACUCUUGGUUAUUCUUUUGCUGCUCAUACUAUGUCUAGUAGAACUGAUAGGUUGCUAGACAUACUAGAGAAUCCCUUGAUUGGUAAAACUGAACAUAGCAUUGCUAAUAAACUCUUAGGAAUUCUUGAGAACUUAAAGAAUAACAAUGAUCAUCCUAGAAGUCAUCUAGCUAAGGAUAUACAUAAAUCUUUGAUUAUUGAUUCUGGUGCAUCUCAUCACAUGAUUAGUGAUAACAGGUUGAUUACGGAUAUAGAACCUACACAAGGUCAUGUCAUGAUUGCUAAUGGAGAUAGAAUUCCUAUUAGAGGCAUUGGUAGGUUGAAACUGUUUAAUAAAGAGUCUAAUGCUUUCUACAUGCCUGAAUUUACUUCAAACUUGUUAUCUGUCAAGAGAUGCACUACUGAUCUUAAUUGCAAUGUUAUUUUUAGUCCUAAUGAUGUGAAGUUUCAGGAUAUUAAGAGCAGUAAGUUGAUCGGCCAAGGAGCAACUAAGGGAGACCUUUACAUGCUUGAAGUGUUGAGAUGAGGUAAUAAAGAGUGACUACAUUGAUAGAGAAAGAGGAUUGAGACAGACAGUAACUUUGGAGUUACCACAGUAACUUUGGUUUUACUGUGGUAACUAAGUUAAAGCUUGGAAAGUUACCUUGGCUCACAUUGGAGAGUAAGCCACGACCAAGAGCUGUAUGGAUAAGGGAGGAGCAGUCUGGAUAAGGUUUCCUCACAGCUAGAGAGGCUGGAGACAGGCUGUAAAGUAGACAGCAUCUAGUAAAAGAUGCCAAAGGGAUCAAGCAUGUGAAGACUCCCAUUGGCUGCUUUUGGAUGGCUCUCUUUGACUACACAUGCCCUGAACCUCUACCUUAUCUAUUGAUUUCGAAAUUGAUUGUCUCUCUCAUAUAAGUAUGUUGUAAACCUCAUCUUUAUUAAUUAAUGGAGUUUUGAGUCUCUCUCUUUAUUCUCUCACUAAAAUCUCUUAAUCUCUUUAAUCUUUUCAUCUGAUUAUCUCUGAUUAUUUGAAUCAUGCUCUAAUACACAAAAGUGUAUAUGGUAUCAGAGCCAGGUUGGCAAAAAGGGGGUGAGUGUGAUUUCUUUUUCUCAAAAUCAGAGUGUUCUUGAGUGUUCUUGAGUGUUCUUGGGAUUAUUGAGGUUUCUGGGUAUGUGUGUUGUCUAUUCUUGUGUGGCUGGGUUUAUUUGAGAUUCUCUGGUGGAAACAUGGAUAUGAAGCACGAAUCUAUUGGAGCAGUGAAGAUUCAAGAAGAAAACAAGUGGGUUUGGCCAAGAUGGGUAAAGACAGCUUUGGGAAGCUGUGAGAUUUGGAGUAAUCAAGUAAAGGGAGAACCUUUAAUGGAGAGAGCUGCUGAUGGGGGUCAGACAGCAAGGUUGAAAUGUGAAGAUCAGUUGAGUCUUGAAGAAAGUAUAUCUCUUGAGAAGAUUGAAGAUGUUUAUGAGAACAAGAUCAAUCUAAGGAGGAUGUAUGAAGUCAGGAAGAUGAUCUGUGAGUUGAAACAAGGGAAAGAAGGUUUCAAUCAGCAUGUGAAGAAGCUGAGAUGUUUGUGGUCGGAGUUACAAAGCUUGAGACCAAGAAGUUGUGAUCCGAGAGUGCUAGAAGAGUGGCGAGAGCAAGAUGUUGUCUUCAGCCUCCUUGCAAGCUUGGAUUCAUCUUAUGGCUGGUUGGUAAAGCUUAUUCUCAAGGAAGAGAAGCUACCCAACAUGGAAGAAGUGUGUGUACUUGUUCAGAGGCUUCAUCAAGUGAUGGAAGAGAACAAAGAGAUAACUUGGAGUAAGGAGGGUGCUAAAAGGAAGAAGGGAAGGCUGAGACGACGUUCUAAGGCUCAGAUCAGAAGAGGAAGGUGUUGGAAGAGAAGCAUACUGUCUGGUUAUCAAGGUAGCUAUGGUACUAUGAAGAUGGGCAGAGUAGAAGCACAACAGAUUCUUAUGGGAGAGUGUUCUUACUCAGCUUACAUGGGAGAAUCUGUAGAGAGCAGUGGGGUUAUGAGGAAGCUAGAGACCAAAGGAGCAGAUGAGCGUGUCACAAAGGAGGAAUGGGAUGAGUUUGUCAAGUAUGUGUAUGCUUUGGCUACGACCCGGAGACAGGGUGCUCCUGCCAAAGCAUCCACAUCCAACAAACCCAUCAUUGUUGAUUCUGGAGCAAGUCAUCACAUGAUUAGUGACAGAAGCUUAAUGAGUGAUGUAAAGAAAGCUACUGGGGGUGUGAUGAUAGCUAAUGGUGAUAGGAUUCCUAUAGAAGGAGUUGGAAAGCUCAAGCUAUUUGAUAAAGACUCAGAUGCCUUCUACAUGCCACAGUUUGCUUCAAAUCUACUAUCUGUAAGGAAAGCCACAAUUGAUCUUGGCUGUCAAGUAGUAUUCAGGCCAGAUGAUGUUGAGUUCCAAGAUUUGAAGACUGGAAGGGUCAUUGGGAGAGGAGACAGCAAGAAUAAUCUAUACCAGCUCCAAUUGGCUAAGAUUUCUAAACCCUUUGAUUCUAUGUGUUUGAGUAGUACUUAUGAGAAGAUUGAUAGUAUUACUUGGCAUGCUAGAUUGGGUCAUCCUCAUGCUCGUGCUAUUGAAUUGAUAAUUCCUAAUAUGUCAUUUAAUCACUUGGAGUGUGAAGCAUGCAUAUUAGGAAAGCAUUGUAGGACUGUUUUUCCAACAUCAGAAACUACUUAUGAGCAUUGCUUUGAUCUAGUUCAUUCAGAUGUGUGGACUGCUCCUUGUUUGUCUAGAGAUAGCCAGAAGUACUUUGUGACAUUCAUUGAUGAGAAGUCUAAGUAUACUUGGCUUACAUUGCUUCCAUCUAAAGAUAGGGUGCUAGAAGCAUUUAUGAACUUCCAAGCAUAUGUAUCUAAUCAAUACAAUGCUACUGUGAAGGUACUGAGAUCAGAUAAUGGAGGUGAAUACAUCAGCAAUGCCUUCAAGAGUCAUCUAGCCAAGCAUGGGAUUGUGCAUCAGACUAGCUGUCCUUAUACACCACAGCAGAAUGGUGUAGCUGAGAGGAAGAACAGGCACUUGAUGGAGGUUGCUAGAUCAAUGAUGUUUCAUGCAAAUGUCCCAAAACGUUUUUGGAGUGAUGCUGUGCAGACUGCUUGCUAUCUCAUCAACCGGGUUCCAACCAAGAUAUUGAAGAAUCUGUCUCCAUUUGAAGUGUUGAACAAGAGCAAACCUGUCAUUGAUCACCUACGUGUCUUUGGGUGUGUGUGCUAUGUCAUGGUUCCAGGAGAGCAGAGAAACAAGCUGGAGGCAAAGAGUACUAAGGCUAUGUUCAUUGGUUACUCUAUCACUCAGAAAGGGUACAAGUGCUAUGAUCCUGAAGCAAGGAGAGUGAUGGUAUCUAGAGAAGUGAAGUUUGUUGAAACAAAAGGUUAUUAUGAAGAAAAGGAGUGGGAAAAUCUGAAGGAUUUGUCUCAAGCUCCAUCUGAUAAGGCAACAAUACUGAGAGUGUUGUUGGAGAAGCUCGGGAUAGGGUUGUCCCAGGAUCAGGAACCCGGCAGGAGAGAGUCUUCCAAUCAGACUGGUGGAGCUGGAAGAACAACUCCUCUUGAUCAUGAGAGGGGGAAUGGAACUGAAUCUGGUGAGCAAGAGCAAAACCAAGAGGAUUCAGGUCUUCAUGAUCAAGUUGAGAACAAUGUUCAGUCUAGUGGAGAAGUGGAUGAGGUUCAGUCUAGUGGAGAAGUAGAUGAGGUUCAGUCUAGUGGAGAAGAACAAGUCGGACCGGCCAGUUCAGAAGAAGAGCAAGUGGAGCCGGCUAGUGUGCAAACUGAAGAUCAGGUGCAAGCUUUGAGGAGGAGCACAAGGAUAAAGAGGGAUCCUUCCAACUGGGUAAACACGAGAGUGUACUACAAUGCCCAGGCUGUGGAGCAUCCUUCUCAAGCCGUGUGUUCCUUUGCUGAGUUUCCAGAGGAGCAUUAUGCCUUUAUGAUUAGUCUGGAUGAGAGUUAUGUGCCAAGGACUUAUGAAGAAGCUAUGUUAGACAAGGAAUGGAAAGAAUCAGUGGGAGCUGAAGCAGGUGCUAUGAUCAAGAAUGAUACAUGGUAUGAGAGUGAACUGCCUAAGGGAAAGAAGGCUGUAUCUAGUAGAUGGAUCUUCACAAUUAAGUAUCUAGCAAAUGGACAGAUUGAUAGGAAGAAGACCAGACUGGUUGCAAGAGGAUUUACACAAACCUAUGGAGAGGAUUACAUUGAUACCUUUGCACCAGUAGCUAAGCUGCACACAGUUCGGAUUGUGUUGUCCAUUGCAACAAACUUGGAGUGGGAUUUGUGGCAGAUGGAUGUGAAGAAUGCUUUCUUACAAGGUGAGCUAGAAGAUGAGGUAUACAUGCUUCCUCCUCCUGGUCUUGAGCAUCUAGUAAAACCAGGAAAUGUUUUGAGAUUGAAGAAGGCAAUAUAUGGGCUGAAGCAGUCUCCUAGAGCUUGGUACAGAAAGCUGAGUACAACUCUCAAUGGGAGAGGAUUCAGGAAGUCUGAACUGGAUCAUACACUCUUCACUUUGGUUACUCCAUCAGGGAUCAUUGUGAUACUGGUAUAUGUGGAUGAUUUGAUUAUCACAGGGAGUGAUAAGGCUGGGAUUAAAGCCACUAAAGAGUUCCUCAAGUCUGUGUUUGAUAUUAAAGACUUGGGAGAGAUGAAGUAUUUCUUGGGGAUUGAGAUAUGCAGAUCCAAGGAGGGUUUGUUUAUGUGUCAAAGGAAGUAUACAAUGGAUAUGUUGAAGGAGACUGAUGUACUUGGAGGAAAGGUAGCCAAGACACCUCUUGAAGAGGGGUAUAAGGUCUUACGUGAGGGGGAGGUUGAAGAGAACCAGUUGUUUGAGGAUGCUAAGCUGUAUAGGAAGAUGGUUGGCAAGCUGAUCUACUUGACCAUCACCAGACCAGAUAUAUGUUUUGCUGUGAACCAAGUGAGUCAGCAUAUGCAGGCACCAAAGGUCCAUCACUGGAAGAUGGUUGAUAGGAUACUGAGGUAUCUGAGUGGGACGACUGGACAAGGGGUUUGGAUGGGUUGUAAUGGCAGUACAGAAGUGGUUGGGUAUUGUGAUGCUGAUUGGGCAGGAGAUAGAGUGGACAGGAGAUCAACUACUGGGUAUUGUACAUUCAUUGGAGGAAACUUGGUUACUUGGAAGAGUAAGAAGCAGAAGGUUAUCUCUUGUUCAAGUGCUGAAGCUGAGUAUAGAGCCAUGCUGAAGCUGACAAACGAGUUGGUGUGGAUCAAGGGGAUCUUGAAGCAUCUAGAGAUUGAGCAGAGUACUCCUAUGACUAUGCAUUGUGACAAUCAAGCAGCUAUCCACAUUGCCUCCAACUCAGUGUUUCAUGAGAGAACAAAGCACAUAGAGGUGGAUUGUCAUAAGGUGAGGCAGAUGAUUAUCUUAGGAGUGAUUCUGCCAUGUUAUACAAGAAGUGAAGAUCAGCUUGCAGAUGUGUUUACUAAGGCAGCGAGAUUAAAGACAAUGGAGUCCAUACUAUCCAGGCUUGGACUCAUUGAUCUUACUCCCAGGAGCUGAGCCCCUUAACCAUGGAGUCUCCACUCUUUUUCCCUCAUCAAAGUUUUAUCCCAAUGGGUUUUCUUUGGUGAGGUUUUUAAUGAGGGAGGUCUUCAUGGUUUCCAAGCUUGACUUGUUCCACAUGGUCAAGCUUGAGGGGGAGUGUUGAGAUGAGGUAAUAAAGAGUGACUACAUUGAUAGAGAAAGAGGAUUGAGACAGACAGUAACUUUGGAGUUACCACAGUAACUUUGGUUUUACUGUGGUAACUAAGUUAAAGCUUGGAAAGUUACCUUGGCUCACAUUGGAGAGUAAGCCACGACCAAGAGCUGUAUGGAUAAGGGAGGAGCAGUCUGGAUAAGGUUUCCUCACAGCUAGAGAGGCUGGAGACAGGCUGUAAAGUAGACAGCAUCUAGUAAAAGAUGCCAAAGGGAUCAAGCAUGUGAAGACUCCCAUUGGCUGCUUUUGGAUGGCUCUCUUUGACUACACAUGCCCUGAACCUCUACCUUAUCUAUUGAUUUCGAAAUUGAUUGAUCAAGCAUGUGAAGACUCCCAUUGGCUGCUUUUGGAUGGCUCUCUUUGACUACACAUGCCCUGAACCUCUACCUUAUCUGAUUGAUUUCGAAAUUGAUUGUCUCUCUCAUAUAAGUAUGUUGUAAACCUCAUCUUUAUUAAUUAAUGGAGUUUUGAGUCUCUCUCUCUUUAUUCUCUCUCUAAUCUCUUAAUCUCUUUAAUCUUCUCAUCUGAUUAUCCCUGAUUAGUUGAAUCAUGCUCUAAUACACAAAAGUGUAUACUAUCUUAGAUGCUUAUAGCUACUGUGAGUAUCCCUGAUUGGUUGAAUCAUGCUCUAAUACACAAAAGUGUAUACUUGUAGUAUGUGUGUGUGGAUAAUCUCCAAUGGAGAAUGAUUAGAGCUUGUUUUAGGUGAUUUAGAAGAGAGAUUGAUGAGAGUGUAUAAGAGAAUUAGGAACAGAGAUUAAGAGACUUAAGUAAAGAGAGAGAGCUUGGAAGCGAUUUGAGAGAAAGGAAGUUUGAUGAGUGUUGGUGUGUCUAAGUGUUUAAGAGAUUAGUAACAAGACUGAGAACGUGUAUAGAGAUUCAGGAUGAGAGACUAGAGAGACUAAGAAAGUGUUUCAGAUUAGAGAAGGAGAAGGGAAACCCCCUUACUCACUUAAGAGUUACAAAACAUCACUUAUGAGCUUAUAUAUGCUCUUUACAACUUGCAAUCAUAAACCUAAAUCUAAGGGCUGUUAUAACUUGAAUUUAAAUGAAUGGAUGAGAUGGAGAGAUGGUCUUGGUCGUGGCUGUGCUGUUCCUGAUGGAUAAUUGGUCCAUUUGAAUCUGGUCAAGGGAAGGCUGGCUCCUUAUUGGCUAGCUAAAGGCUCCCAUGAAUCUGCCUGUUAUAACUUGAAUUUAAAUGAAUGGAUGAGAUGGAAAGAUGGUCUUGGUCGUGGCUGGCUCAUGGUCUUGGUCGUGGCUGUGCUGUUCCUGAUGGAUAAUUGGUCCAUUUGAAUCUGGUCAAGGGAAGGCUGGCUCCUUAUUGGCUAGCUAAAGGCUCCCAUGAAUCUGCCCACUUCUUUUGCUAGAUACAUGGUUUCCUUUUGCUUUUACUUUACAGCAAGGGACUCUCCUUUCCAGCCUGUCACUCGCCAGCCUCUCCUUUGUCUUCUUCUCUUAAGAGUUUCACCAGCCUAUCCUUUGCCUUCUUCUCUUAAGAGUUUUGUCUUCUUCUCUUAAGAGUUUUGUGUUCUCUUACUGUGGUUGUUGAGAAGAGGUGAUAAAGAGUGGGUACAUUGAUAGAGGAAGAGAAAUGGGGCAGUCAGUAACGUUGGAGAUUUACCACAUUAACUUUAGUUUUACUGUGGUAACUAAGGUAUAACUUUGGGAAGUUACCUUUCAAUCAUUUGGAGAGUGAAGCACGUCCAAGGAGAGUCUGGAUAAGGAAGGAGCAAUCUGGAUAAGGAAGAAGCAUUCUGGAUAAGGUCUGGUCAUAGCUGGAAAGGUAAAACACCUUUACAGCCUGUCCAAGCAUGUGAGAACACCCAUUGGCUGCUUUUGGAUGGCUCUCCUUGACUCCACACGUUCCUGAUCUCCUCUGACCCUAUGAUUUCGAAUUGUAUCUUGUAUCACUCAUAUAAAUGAGAUUUUAGAGAGUAGAAUAGGUAUUGAGAGAUUAAGAGAGAUUUGGUAAGAGAUUAAGAGAAGUUUAGAAGAGAUUGUGAAAGAAAUGGAGAGAUUAUGUGUGAUCCAUGAUGAACAAGAGAGAGACUAGAGAGAGAGUAACAUAAUCCGCAUCAUCUUAUUGAUCAGUGAGUGUUUACAAUAUAUAGGAGUGUGAUACUAGGGUUUAAGAAGAGACUAAGCAUGUGAGGUCAAAGCUAAGGGAGCCUUUAAUUUGAACCGGACCAAUGAGCCUCUCCACACGCGUGGUCACUAUGCUAAAAGGGAACCUUUUCCUUCCAGCCUGUGCCAGCCUGUAGAGAUGCUCUUCCUCUAUCCAUAAACGGUCAUAUGCCUUCCUCUAUCCAUCAACGGUCAUAAGCCUUCUUUGGUCGAGGUAAAACAUGAUCCGAACGUGAAUUUCUUCUCGCGGUAACACUUCUUUACCGCAUGGUCGAUACCGUCUGUACGGCCGUACGGCCAUGGUACGGACCUGUACGGACCAGUACGGACGGUUCUCCCUAAGGCCAAUCCUUCUCCUCUACUCAACAUCACAACCUCUUCAACCCUGAACAACUCUCCUCAUAUUCCUCAGCUCAUCUCAACACUCCCCCUCAAGCUUGACCAUGUGGAACAAGUCAAGCUUGGAAGGAUCAUGAGCUCCCCCUCAUUAAAAACCUCAUCAAAGAAAACCCAUUGGGACAAAACUCUGAUGAGGGAAAAAGAGUAAGGACCUCAUGAUCAGGAGAGUGUAUAGAUCAGCCCUUAGGCGAAAGAUCAAGGAGUCCCAACCUUAUGUGAAUUGACUCCAUUGUCUUUUGCCUAGCCGCCUUAGUGAAAACAUCUGCCAACUGAUCCUCACUCCUUGUGUAGCACGGCAGUAUCACUCCCAAGACUAUCAUCUGCCUCACUUUAUGACAGUCCACUUCAAUAUGCUUGGUUCUUUCAUGGAACACCGAGUUUGUGGCUAUGUGAAUGGCUGCUUGAUUGUCACAAUGCAUGGUCAUUGGUGUUGCUUGCUCAAUCUCCAAGUGCUUCAGUAUUCCUUUAAUCCAUACCAACUCAUUUGUGAGCUUUAGCAUUGCUCUAUACUCAGCCUCGGCACUUGAGCAUGACACCACCUUUUGCUUCUUACUCUUCCAAGUAACCAUGUUUCCACCAAUGAAUGUGCAAUAGCCGGUUGUAGAUCUUCUAUCUGUUCUGUCUCCAGCCCAAUCUGCAUCACAAUAUCCCACUGCUUCAGUGCUCCCAUUACAACCCAUCCAUAUACCAAGCCCUUGAGUUCCAUUCAGAUACAUGAGAACUCUUUCUACCAUGCGCCAGUGAUGCUCUCUUGGAGCUUGCAUAUGCUGACUCACUUGGUUCACAGCAAAACAGAUGUCUGGCCUAGUAAUGGUUAGAUAGAUCAGCUUCCCCACAAGCUUCCUGUAUAGCUUUGGAUCAUGAAAUGCCUUACUAUCUUCUAGCUCCCCCUCACGUGGAGCUUUAUACCCAUCCUCCAUGGGCAUCUUGGCUGUCUUUCCUCCAUACGCACCAGCCUCCUUCAACAGAUCCAAGAUAUAUUUCCUUUGUGAGAUGAACAGCCCUUCUUCUGAUCUGCACAGCUCAAUUCCAAGGAAGUACUUCAUUUCUCCCAAGUCUUUGAUGUCAAACACAGAUUUCAGAAACUCCUUGGUCUCCUUGAUUCCCACCUUAUCACUGCCUGUGAUAACUAUGUCAUCCACAUAUACAAGAAGCACAACAAUGCCUGCAGGUGUAGUAAGAGUGAAGAGAGUGUGAUCAAGCUCUGAUUUCCUGAAGCCUCUUCCAUUUAGAGUUGUGCUCAGCUUGUGAUACCAUGCCCUUGCUGAUUGCUUUAACCCAUAGAUGGCCUUCUUCAACCUCAGCACAUUCCCUGGUUUCACCAUCCCUUCUAGGCCCGGAGGUGGUAGCAUGUAGACUUCAUCUUCCAACUCUCCUUGGAGAAAUGCAUUCUUCACAUCCAUUUGCCAAAGAUCCCACCCAAGAUUAGUAGCCACUGAUAGGACUAUUCGAAUGGUGUGUAGCUUUGCAACUGGAGCAAAUGUAUCAAUGUAGUCUUCUCCAUAUGUCUGAGUGAACCCUCUUGCUACCAGUCUAGUCUUCUUCCUCUCAAUUGACCCAUCAGCCUUGUACUUGACUGUAAAGAUCCAUCUACUAGACACAGCCUUCUUCCCUUUUGGUAGUUCACUCUCAUACCAUGUAUCAUUCUUUAUCAUAGCUCCUGCCUCAGCUCCUACUGAUUCCUUCCAUUCUUCAUCUUCCAUAGCCUCUUCAUAGCUUCUUGGAAUGUGAUUCUUAUCUAAGUUUACCAUAAAUGCACAAUGUGCUUCUGGAUAUUGAGCAAAGGAACACACGGCCUGAGUAGGAUGCUUCACAGCUUGGGCAUUGUAGUACACUCUCGUGUUUACCCAACUAGAAGGAUCCCUUCUCAGCCUUGUACUCCUUCUCAACACUGGUCCUUCUUGCGCCAUCUCUUGUUCUUCUUCUACUUGUGGAGUGACUGCUUCAGUCUGUACUUCAGCUUCAGCUCUAGCCUCUCCUUGUCUCUGACCUUCUUCAUUCUGACUUUCAUUCAGUUCUUCCCUUGCUGAUCCUUCUCCACUUUGGACAGGAGAAUCAGUUCCUCUGUUUCCUAGCUCACCGGCCUCUUCUAAGCCUUGGUCCUCUAGUUCAGAUACUGAUUCACUUCCCCCCUCAUGUGCAAAGUGGGAUGGUUCUUCUGCUGCAGCUGGAGUAGGUUCUGGACGCCUACUCUGAUCCUGGGACACUCCAAUUCCGAGCCCCUCUAGAAUGUUUCUCAAGCAAGCAGCUCUUUCUGAUGGCUGGGAUAGAUCCUCCAGGUCUUCCCAUGUCUGCUCAUCAUAGUAUCCUUUCUCUUCCAUGAAUCUGACAUCCCUUGACACUAGGACUCUCCUAGCUGUAGGAUCAUAGCAUUUGUAGCCCUUCUGUGAAGUGGAAUACCCAAUCAUCAUGGCCUUGGUGCUCUUUGCUUCUAGUUUGUUUCUCUGCUCGCCUGGUACAAGAACAUAACACACGCAUCCAAAGGUCCUCAGGUGAUCCAAGACUGGCCUGCUCUUGUUAAGUACCUCAAAUGGAGAUUGAUCUGCCAAGAUCCUGGUUGGUAUCCUGUUGAUCAGAUAGCACGCAGUCAUCACAGCAUCACUCCAAUACCUCUUGGGAACCCCUUUGUGGAACAUCAUAGACCGGGACACCUCCAUGAGAUGUCUGUUCUUCCUUUCAGCAACUCCAUUCUGCUGUGGAGUGUAUGGGCAGCUAGUCUGGUGAAGAAUCCCAUGUUGAGCAAGGUGAUCACGAAAUGCAUGCCCAGUAUACUCCCCACCAUUAUCAGACCUGAAAAUCUUAAUCUUGGCAUGAUAUUGGUUAGUCACAUAGGCUUGAAAUUUUUUAAAUGCAUCAAGGACUCUAUCUUUAGUUUUAAUCAAUGUUAACCAGGUGUAUUUGGAUUUUUCAUCAAUGAAUGUGACAUAAUACUUGUAAUCAUCCCUAGAUAAGCAAGGUGCAGUCCAAACAUCAGAGUGAAUUAAAUCAAAGCAGUUUGCAUAAAGAGUAGAUGAUCUUUGAAAAACAGUCUUACAGUGUUUACCCAAAAUACAAGCCUCACAAUCAUUAUUUUUAAACAUGACACCUGGUAACAUAAUGCUUAAAGCCCUAACAUGUGGAUGGCCUAGCCUAGCAUGCCACAGAGCAUCAAUACUUAAGGAAGAAACAGAACUAAACGAGAAACAAGAACUAGAAAUAGGUGCAAGGUCUUCAAUCAUGUAAAGAUCUCCCUUGGUUGCUCCUUGCCCAAUCAACUUACUGCUCUUAAUAUCCUGAAACUUAACAUCAUUAUGACUGAAAAUAACAUUGCAUUGAAGAUCAGUAGUGCAUUUCUUAACUGAUAAGAGAUUAGAGGUGAACUCAGGCAUGUAAAAAGCUUUUGAAUCCUUAUUAAACAAGUUCAGUUUACCAAUGCCUCUAAUGGGAAUUCUAUCUCCAUUUGCAAUCAUAACAUGACCAAGUGCAGGUUCUAUGUCUUUUAUCAGAUUGUUAUCACUAAUCAUGUGAUGAGAUGCACCAGAAUCAAUUAUCAAUGGUUUAUGCAAGCUCCUAGCAGUAUUGAUUCUAGAUGUUUCAUUUUCAGCUUUCAGGCUCUUAACUACUCCUAACAAUCUAUCAGUUAUGCUAGUAUGAGCAGUAGCAGUACAUGAGGUUUUAAAAAUGUCUAACAGCUUAUCAGAGAUACUAGGUAAUGUAUGAGCAGAGUAUGAGUAUCCAAGAGUGUUGCCUAGCAUUUUACCAGACUCCUUGAGGGCUCGGAUGAAUGCCUCAAAGUCAGCCUUGGUGAUCACUUCCUGAGAAGUUAGAACCAUGCCUUCACUUUCACCCGCCUUGACAUUUGGACUAGCCCCUGAUGAGCCAGCACCACUUGCUUCAGCAGAAAGGUGAGCCUUAGCUUCUCUAUCCUUGUUGAACUUGCUUGGCCUGAGGUGUGGAUGUAGGAUCCAGCACUGACUCUUCUUAUGCCCUUGCCGCUUGCAAUGCUCACAGCUUCCCUCAUACUUCUCAUACUUCCUUCCAUCUCCACGGUAUGCUGCCUUGUUUGCUUGCGCCUCUUCUGCUUUAUGAGCCGUGGACAUUCCCUUCUUGCCUCCAAACAACCCAAGAGAGCCUUCCUCCUUCUGAAGUUGUGCACAAACCUCCUCCAUGGAUGGGAGAGUAGGUGAUCUCAGGAUAUGCUUGAUCACAUCCUGGUAGCUUUCAUCUAGAGUCAUCAAUAGCCCAAACACCUGAUCUUGCUCUCUCCUCUCAAUGAGCGAUUCCUCAUCAGUUGUGUUGGGUCUAAGACUCUCAAGUUCGGACCACAACGCUCCAAACUUCCCCAUGUGCUUGGUGAGAUCUUCUCCAUCUUGCCUCAAGACACUGAUGGUUUGCUUCAGAUCAAACACCCGACUUAUGUUGGACUUGUUUCCAUACCUCUUAUGGAGCAUGUCCCAAAGGCGCUUAGGAGUCUCAAAGUGCACGUAAGCUUCAAGUAUGGGGAGCUCCAGAGAGGCAUGGAGCACAGACAGCACCAUCAAAUCCUCUUGGACCCAUCUCUUUGCUUCAGCUACCGCAAGAGUCUUCCCGUCGCCUUCUUCUUCAUCUUCUUUGGCCACUGGCUCCGGACCAUCAUCUGUGAUGUGGUUCCACAGCCCUAGCCUUCCAAUGGUAGUCCUCACCAACUGGGACCACAUCAAGUAGUUCGAGCCUCCCUUCAGUGCAACCGGAACCGUCACCAGUUUGCUAAAGUUGGUCGUCUCCAUCUCCUCUUCUUUAUCACACAAGAACACACUCGCAAAUGUAAAGAAAGGAACAAGGGUCUCUCAAUACCAAAGCCAACCUGGCUCUGAUACCAUAUGAGAUUAGAGAGUAGAAUAGGUAUUGAGAGAUUAAGAGAGAUUUGGUAAGAGAUUAAGAGAAGUUUAGGAGAGAUUGUGAAAGAAAUGGGGAGAUUUAUGUAUGAACCAUGAUGAACAAGAGAGAGACUAGAGAGAGAGUAACAUGAUUCGCAUUAAUCAAUUAAUCAGAGAGAGUUUACACUUAUAUAUGAAGCUUAAGACACUAGGGUUUAGACUGCAUAAAGGAGAAAGCAUGUGAAGUCAAGAUACAGCUAAGGGCGGAUUUGAAUCCUUCCAAUGAGAGUCUCCACAUGUGUAAGGCAUCUUUGAAUAUGCCUUUACCUUUCCAGCUCUUGCCAGACUGUCAGACGCGUUCCUCCUUAUCCUCUCAACGUUCGGAUCAAGCUCAGCCUUAAGGUAAAGUAACUCUAGCUGGUUUACUUUUACCUGAGCUAAGUAACCCCUUAACCGCGCAUGAUGGUACGGCCUGAUCGUCCGUACCCUUUGCCCUAUCCGUACAGUCCGUACAAGAUGCUUCUAUCUUCCUCUCUAAUGCUUCUACACUUCCUAAGGUCUCCUCUUCAUACCAUAAGGCUCUCUUCUUAACACUCCCCCUCAAGCUUAGCUUUGUGAC